AUGGGUGGAGGUGGUGUAGCCACUAGCAUUGGCGCCCAGCCUUUCCAAAAGCGCUAUUAUUGUUUUUGAAGAACAUAGAACUCAAAGAGAUAAAAUGUAGAAAAAAUUGGUACAACAUGGGUGUUUAGCACGGGGCAUGUGGUUGGAACUCCCGAUGCAUUGAUGGUCCUUGCAUGGGGAUGAUGAAAACUUCUGGAGGUUGGAGCUUAGGUGGGACCAGGCUCACGAGAGAGGUUCCAUCCCACAA
This 247-nucleotide long non-coding RNA is filed under the name Elaeis guineensis (African oil palm). Its description in RNAcentral is "long non-coding RNA (EGUI_LNC075619)". Lineage: Eukaryota; Viridiplantae; Streptophyta; Magnoliopsida; Arecales; Arecaceae. The record is from RNAcentral.